GGCUAACUGCAGUCGAGCGAACAGACGAGGAGCUUGCUCCUUUGACGUUAGCGGCGGACGGGUGAGUAACACGUAGGUAACCUACCUAUAAGACUGGGAUAACUUCGGGAAACCGGAGCUAAUACCGGAUAAUAUUUCGAACCGCAUGGUUCGAUAGUGAAAGAUGGCUUUGCUAUCACUUAUAGAUGGACCUGCGCCGUAUUAGCUAGUUGGUAAGGUAACGGCUUACCAAGGCAACGAUACGUAGCCGACCUGAGAGGGUGAUCGGCCACACUGGAACUGAGACACGGUCCAGACUCCUACGGGAGGCAGCAGUAGGGAAUCUUCCGCAAUGGGCGAAAGCCUGACGGAGCAACGCCGCGUGAGUGAUGAAGGUCUUCGGAUCGUAAAACUCUGUUAUUAGGGAAGAACAAACGUGUAAGUAACUGUGCACGUCUUGACGGUACCUAAUCAGAAAGCCACGGCUAACUACGUGCCAGCAGCCGCGGUAAUACGUAGGUGGCAAGCGUUAUCCGGAAUUAUUGGGCGUAAAGCGCGCGUAGGCGGUUUUUUAAGUCUGAUGUGAAAGCCCACGGCUCAACCGUGGAGGGUCAUUGGAAACUGGAAAACUUGAGUGCAGAAGAGGAAAGUGGAAUUCCAUGUGUAGCGGUGAAAUGCGCAGAGAUAUGGAGGAACACCAGUGGCGAAGGCGACUUUCUGGUCUGUAACUGACGCUGAUGUGCGCGUGGGGAUCAAACAGGAUUAGAUACCCUGGUAGUCCACGCGUAAACGAUGAGUGCUAAGUGUUAGGGGGUUUCCGCCCCUUAGUGCUGCAGCUAACGCAUUAAGCACUCCGCCUGGGGAGUACGACCGCAGUUGAAACUCAAAGGAAUUGACGGGGACCCGCACAAGCGGUGGACAUGUGGUUUAAUUCGAAGCAACGCGAAAACCUUACCAAUCUUGACUCCUUUGACCCUUCUAGAGAUAGAAGUUUCCCCUUGGGGACAAAGUGACGGGGCAUGCGUCAGCUCGGUCGGAAGGGAGUCCGCACACGCCUCUUUGGCUAGACCAAAGGCUCACUC
RNAcentral lists this ribosomal RNA (1061 nucleotides) under Staphylococcus hominis. RNAcentral describes it as "bacterial SSU rRNA". It matches the Rfam family "Bacterial small subunit ribosomal RNA", at positions 49 to 1089 of the family's 1533-position model. Lineage: Bacteria; Bacillati; Bacillota; Bacilli; Caryophanales; Staphylococcaceae. The record is from RNAcentral.